RNAcentral lists this ribosomal RNA (2219 nucleotides) under Escherichia coli C161_11. RNAcentral's name for it is "bacterial LSU rRNA". It matches the Rfam family "Bacterial large subunit ribosomal RNA", at positions 1 to 2246 of the family's 2925-position model. Lineage: Bacteria; Pseudomonadati; Pseudomonadota; Gammaproteobacteria; Enterobacterales; Enterobacteriaceae. The record is from RNAcentral.
UUAAGCGACUAAGCGUACACGGUGGAUGCCCUGGCAGUCAGAGGCGAUGAAGGACGUGCUAAUCUGCGAUAAGCGUCGGUAAGGUGAUAUGAACCGUUAUAACCGGCGAUUUCCGAAUGGGGAAACCCAGUGUGUUUCGACACACUAUCAUUAACUGAAUCCAUAGGUUAAUGAGGCGAACCGGGGGAACUGAAACAUCUAAGUACCCCGAGGAAAAGAAAUCAACCGAGAUUCCCCCAGUAGCGGCGAGCGAACGGGGAGCAGCCCAGAGCCUGAAUCAGUGUGUGUGUUAGUGGAAGCGUCUGGAAAGGCGCGCGAUACAGGGUGACAGCCCCGUACACAAAAAUGCACAUACUGUGAGCUCGAUGAGUAGGGCGGGACACGUGGUAUCCUGUCUGAAUAUGGGGGGACCAUCCUCCAAGGCUAAAUACUCCUGACUGACCGAUAGUGAACCAGUACCGUGAGGGAAAGGCGAAAAGAACCCCGGCGAGGGGAGUGAAAAAGAACCUGAAACCGUGUACGUACAAGCAGUGGGAGCACGCUUCGGCGUGUGACUGCGUACCUUUUGUAUAAUGGGUCAGCGACUUAUAUUCUGUAGCAAGGUUAACCGAAUAGGGGAGCCGAAGGGAAACCGAGUCUUAACUGGGCGUUAAGUUGCAGGGUAUAGACCCGAAACCCGGUGAUCUAGCCAUGGGCAGGUUGAAGGUUGGGUAACACUAACUGGAGGACCGAACCGACUAAUGUUGAAAAAUUAGCGGAUGACUUGUGGCUGGGGGUGAAAGGCCAAUCAAACCGGGAGAUAGCUGGUUCUCCCCGAAAGCUAUUUAGGUAGCGCCUCGUGAAUUCAUCUCCGGGGGUAGAGCACUGUUUCGGCAAGGGGGUCAUCCCGACUUACCAACCCGAUGCAAACUGCGAAUACCGGAGAAUGUUAUCACGGGAGACACACGGCGGGUGCUAACGUCCGUCGUGAAGAGGGAAACAACCCAGACCGCCAGCUAAGGUCCCAAAGUCAUGGUUAAGUGGGAAACGAUGUGGGAAGGCCCAGACAGCCAGGAUGUUGGCUUAGAAGCAGCCAUCAUUUAAAGAAAGCGUAAUAGCUCACUGGUCGAGUCGGCCUGCGCGGAAGAUGUAACGGGGCUAAACCAUGCACCGAAGCUGCGGCAGCGACACUAUGUGUUGUUGGGUAGGGGAGCGUUCUGUAAGCCUGUGAAGGUGUGCUGUGAGGCAUGCUGGAGGUAUCAGAAGUGCGAAUGCUGACAUAAGUAACGAUAAAGCGGGUGAAAAGCCCGCUCGCCGGAAGACCAAGGGUUCCUGUCCAACGUUAAUCGGGGCAGGGUGAGUCGACCCCUAAGGCGAGGCCGAAAGGCGUAGUCGAUGGGAAACAGGUUAAUAUUCCUGUACUUGGUGUUACUGCGAAGGGGGGACGGAGAAGGCUAUGUUGGCCGGGCGACGGUUGUCCCGGUUUAAGCGUGUAGGCUGGUUUUCCAGGCAAAUCCGGAAAAUCAAGGCUGAGGCGUGAUGACGAGGCACUACGGUGCUGAAGCAACAAAUGCCCUGCUUCCAGGAAAAGCCUCUAAGCAUCAGGUAACAUUAAAUCGUACCCCAAACCGACACAGGUGGUCAGGUAGAGAAUACCAAGGCGCUUGAGAGAACUCGGGUGAAGGAACUAGGCAAAAUGGUGCCGUAACUUCGGGAGAAGGCACGCUGAUAUGUAGGUGAAGUCCCUCGCGGAUGGAGCUGAAAUCAGUCGAAGAUACCAGCUGGCUGCAACUGUUUAUUAAAAACACAGCACUGUGCAAACACGAAAGUGGACGUAUACGGUGUGACGCCUGCCCGGUGCCGGAAGGUUAAUUGAUGGGGUUAGCGGUAACGCGAAGCUCUUGAUCGAAGCCCCGGUAAACGGCGGCCGUAACUAUAACGGUCCUAAGGUAGCGAAAUUCCUUGUCGGGUAAGUUCCGACCUGCACGAAUGGCGUAAUGAUGGCCAGGCUGUCUCCACCCGAGACUCAGUGAAAUUGAACUCGCUGUGAAGAUGCAGUGUACCCGCGGCAAGACGGAAAGACCCCGUGAACCUUUACUAUAGCUUGACACUGAACAUUGAGCCUUGAUGUGUAGGAUAGGUGGGAGGCUUUGAAGUGUGGACGCCAGUCUGCAUGGAGCCGACCUUGAAAUACCACCCUUUAAUGUUUGAUGUUCUAACGUUGACCCGUAAUCCGGGUU